AUUGAACGCUGGCGGCAUGCCUUACACAUGCAAGUCGAACGGCAGCAUGGAGAGCUUGCUCUCUGAUGGCGAGUGGCGAACGGGUGAGUAAAGCAUCGGAACGUACCGUGUAGUGGGGGAUAACGUAGCGAAAGUUACGCUAAUACCGCAUACGCACUGAGGUGGAAAGCAGGGGAUCGCAAGACCUUGCGCUAUACGAGCGACCGAUGUCAGAUUAGCUAGUUGGUAGGGUAAAGGCCUACCAAGGCGACGAUCUGUAGCGGGUCUGAGAGGAUGAUCCGCCACACUGGGACUGAGACACGGCCCAGACUCCUACGGGAGGCAGCAGUGGGGAAUUUUGGACAAUGGGGGCAACCCUGAUCCAGCCAUGCCGCGUGAGUGAAGAAGGCCUUCGGGUUGUAAAGCUCUUUCGGCCGGGAAGAAAUCGCACAGGCUAAUAUCCUGUGUGGAUGACGGUACCGGCAUAAGAAGCACCGGCUAACUACGUG
Molecule: ribosomal RNA, 488 nt
Filed under: uncultured bacterium
Lineage: Bacteria
Description: bacterial SSU rRNA
Rfam family: Bacterial small subunit ribosomal RNA
Source: RNAcentral